Xenia sp. Carnegie-2017 is the source of this 399-nucleotide long non-coding RNA. RefSeq lists it as uncharacterized. Lineage: Eukaryota; Metazoa; Cnidaria; Anthozoa; Malacalcyonacea; Xeniidae. The record is from RefSeq and is a predicted model, not a curated record. The transcript has 3 exons.
GAAAGAAAACAUAUCUUGCCUUACAUUGGCUAACUUUUCCAUAUUUUAGCCAAUCAAAAACGAUGUAGCAUCGAAGUCAGUCAGUGAAAGCAAAUCAUCGAAUGUUCAUUACUUGAUACACCGGAUAUAGACACUUUCUUCGCCGUGAAAUGUAGUGUAGCCUGGGGCAAAGUGCGACACUUUUUCACGUGACAUGGACACUUCCUUAACAGCGAAAUCAAUUGAAGCUGGUAUCCCUUUCAAAGCGAUGAAAUCUUAGAAAGAAAUACUACUUAGCUAAAACAAAAAGGAGAACUGGUACAAAGAAAUCUUUGACACAGACUAAAGAAGCGACUUUUCUUGACUUUUCUUAAUGGAUAAAUUCAAAGAAUGCAAAAACGUAAAACAAUCAAUUGAAAA